RNAcentral lists this ribosomal RNA (406 nucleotides) under uncultured bacterium. RNAcentral's name for it is "partial 16S ribosomal RNA". It matches the Rfam family "Bacterial small subunit ribosomal RNA", at positions 30 to 526 of the family's 1533-position model. The record is from RNAcentral.
AUUGAACGCUGGCGGCAGGCCUAACACAUGCAAGUCGAACGAGUGGCGGACGGGUGAGUAAUGUCUGGGAAACUGCCUGAUGGAGGGGGAUAACUACUGGAAACGGUAGCUAAUACCGCAUACCAUCGGAUGUGCCCAGAUGGGAUUAGCUAGUAGGGGGGGUAAAGGCCCACCUAGGCGACGAUCCCUAGCUGGUCUGAGAGGAUGACCAGCCACACGAGAACUAGGACAGUGUCCAGACUCCUACGGAAGGCAGCAGUGGGGAAUAAUGCACAAUGGGCGCAAGCCUGAUGCAGCCAUCCCGCGUGUAUGAAGAAGGCUUUCGGGUUGUAAAGUACUUUCAGCGGGGAGGCGUUACCUGAAGAAGAAGCACCGGCUAACUCCGUGCCAGCAGCCGCGGUAAUUC